AUUGAACGCUGGCGGCAGGCCUAACACAUGCAAGUCGAACGAGUGGCGGACGGGUGAGUAAUGUCUGGGAAACUGACUGAUGGAGGGGGAUAACUACUGGAAACGGUAGCUAAUACCGCAUACCAUCGGAUGUGCCCAUAUGGGAUUAGCUUGUAGGUGGGGUAAAUGCUCACCUAGGCGACGAUCCCUAGCUGGUCUGAGAGGAUGACCAGCCAAACUGGAACAGAGACACGGGCCAGAAUCCUACGGGAGGCAGCAGUGGGGAAUAUUGCACAAUGGGCGAAAGCCUGAUGCAGCCAUGCCGCGUGGAUGAAGAAGGCCUUCGGGUUGUAAAGGACUUUCAGCGGGGAGGCGUUACCCGCAGAAGAAGCUCCGGCUAACUCCGUGCCAGCAGCCGCGGUAAUUC
This 406-nucleotide ribosomal RNA is filed under the name uncultured bacterium. Its description in RNAcentral is "partial 16S ribosomal RNA". It matches the Rfam family "Bacterial small subunit ribosomal RNA", at positions 30 to 526 of the family's 1533-position model. The record is from RNAcentral.